GGAUGGGAUAGGUGGGGAGCUAGGCGUACCCUAUACCACAAAUCGUCUUUAUGGUGGGCUGAAAGCCUUGGGGCGGCGAAAGCGGCUUAUUGGUUUCUGUAUGCGGACAUUGAUGUCUCGCCCCCACAUGAUUCGGGUGCUAUAAACCGUCUUCGGAAGAAAACGGGAAUUAGAUAACCGAGGGAUUAGGUCAGGCCGGGAACGGAGCAGCCCUACUCGGGGCCAUGAGUGCUGUGGGGUUUCGGGAUGGAGGAAGUGUACAGAUUUGGCUAAUAGGAACGAGCGUCCACCCUCGGAUUCCCACCU
Molecule: signal recognition particle RNA, 306 nt
Filed under: Candidatus Poseidoniaceae archaeon
Lineage: Archaea; Methanobacteriati; Thermoplasmatota; Candidatus Poseidoniia; Candidatus Poseidoniales; Candidatus Poseidoniaceae
Description: signal recognition particle sRNA
Rfam family: Archaeal signal recognition particle RNA
Source: RNAcentral